This 312-nucleotide long non-coding RNA is filed under the name Cyanistes caeruleus (blue tit). Its description in RNAcentral is "lncRNA (ENSCCEG00000010908.1)". The record is from RNAcentral. Lineage: Eukaryota; Metazoa; Chordata; Aves; Passeriformes; Paridae.
AUGUGGGGAGCAUCAAUCCAACAGGAAUGCGGGACUACCAGGAAACUCCAGAACCUCGCAGAGAUUUCGCCUCGGUUUUCAAAGCUGUACCCACGCCACGUUCCAAAACAGCUUCUCUCCGAGGUGACACGCGGAUGUAGCAAAUGGAGAAGAUCAAGGUCAAGAACUUCAAAUGUGCAAGAGGAUUCUCUGGGUGCUGCUGUCCCACAUCAUUACAAGCUGGAAUACCUAUGGAUGAAUGUCUGCAGCAGCAGAGGGUUCUUCGGUAGUCAAAAUGGGUUGAGGCACAGAUCUAGACUCACAACAGAAUGA